Molecule: ribosomal RNA, 492 nt
Filed under: uncultured bacterium
Lineage: Bacteria
Description: partial 16S ribosomal RNA
Rfam family: Bacterial small subunit ribosomal RNA
Source: RNAcentral
GAUGAACGCUAGCUACAGGCUUAACACAUGCAAGUCGAGGGGAAACGGCAUUAAGUGCUUGCACUUUUUGGACGUCGACCGGCGCACGGGUGAGUAACGCGUAUCCAACCUUCCCAUGACUAAGGGAUAACCUGCCGAAAGGCAGACUAAUACCUUAUGGUCUUCACUGACGGCAUCAGAUGUGAAGUAAAGAUUUAUCGGUUAUGGAUGGGGAUGCGUCUGAUUAGCUUGUUGGCGGGGUAACGGCCCACCAAGGCAACGAUCAGUAGGGGUUCUGAGAGGAAGGGCCCCCACAUUGGAACUGAGACACGGUCCAAACUCCUACGGGAGGCAGCAGUGAGGAAUAUUGGUCAAUGGGCGAGAGCCUGAACCAGCCAAGUAGCGUGCAGGAUGACGGCCCUAUGGGUUGUAAACUGCUUUUGUAUGGGGAUAAAGUCAAUCACGUGUGAUUGUUUGCAGGUACCAUACGAAUAAGGACCGGCUAAUUCCGUG